Prunus avium (sweet cherry) is the source of this 175-nucleotide non-coding RNA. The record is from RefSeq and is a predicted model, not a curated record. NCBI's taxonomy places the organism in Eukaryota, Viridiplantae, Streptophyta, Magnoliopsida, Rosales, Rosaceae.
AGAAAAACAGUGAGUGUAUGUACUCAUUUAUAUAACGCAUAGAUUUGGCGUAGCUUUUGCUGUCUCAGUACCGAGGUUACAGUGUUUUUCACUCUCUCUGCUUCACAGCUUUCCCUCCAGAUCUGAUCCCAACAACCAGAGUGUAGGGUUAUCUAAGAAGAAGUUGGAGAACAUG